AGCCGGUCAGACCGGUCUCUAUGGGUGGUCUAACUAGUCUGGCUGCUAUAGCCGGUCUGGCACUCGUCCAAUGGUCUGACCGGUGGCCCCGACCGGUCACCCCAUGUUCGAGGCGAAUUUUGGAGUCCUGGUCGAAUUGGAGUUGAAACAGGAUUUCCCUGUGGGAAAAGACCUUCCACCCUAUAAUAUAUAAAGGGUCCUGGCUGAUUGAGGGCUAUCACCCAAUCCUCAAACAUAUCUUUUUAUGCUUUUAUCUCAAAC
Molecule: long non-coding RNA, 261 nt
Filed under: Setaria viridis
Lineage: Eukaryota; Viridiplantae; Streptophyta; Magnoliopsida; Poales; Poaceae
Description: long non-coding RNA (SVIR_LNC004700)
Source: RNAcentral